RNAcentral lists this transfer RNA (55 nucleotides) under Dierogekko koniambo. Its description in RNAcentral is "tRNA-Cys". The record is from RNAcentral. Lineage: Eukaryota; Metazoa; Chordata; Lepidosauria; Squamata; Diplodactylidae.
CAAUAAAGGAANCGUUUUCAAAUUUGCAAUAUGACGUGUCACUCAMUACGGGGCU